GAUAAACGCUGGCGGCGUGCUUAACACAUGCAAGUCGAACGAAGUUUUUCUUUCGGGAGGAACUUAGUGGCGGACGGGGGAGUAACGCGUGGGUAACCUGCCCUGUACAGGGGGACAACAGCUGGAAACGGCUGCUAAUACCGCAUAAGCCCUUAGCACUGCAUGGUGCAUAGGGAAAAGGAGCAAUCCGGUACAGGAUGGACCCGCGUCUGAUUAGCCAGUUGGCAGGGUAACGGCCUACCAAAGCGAUGAUCAGUAGCCGAUCUGAGAGGAUGUACGGCCACAUUGGGACUGAGACACGGCCGAGACUCCUACGGGAGGCAGCAGUGGGGAAUAUUGCACAAUGGAGGAAACUCUGAUGCAGCGACGCCGCGUGAGUGAAGAAGUAUUUCGGUAUGUAAAGCUCUAUCAGCAGGGAAGAAAAUGACGGUACCUGACGAAGAAGCACCGGCUAAAUACGUG
Molecule: ribosomal RNA, 462 nt
Filed under: uncultured bacterium
Lineage: Bacteria
Description: partial 16S ribosomal RNA
Rfam family: Bacterial small subunit ribosomal RNA
Source: RNAcentral